UGCUCAGGAACACCUGAGUGGUUUCACAUGUGCCUGUUCAUGCCUGGCCUAGGAGUCCUUUUCUGAGGAACACGUUGCUGGUUUUGUUCUUUGGGAAUAGUGUCCGCCUUCUAGAGAUGGUGGGGUGCUCUCAGGAAGGAGAAGCAGCUGCAAGGCUGACAGGGAUCAUGCAAAAGGCCUGGAAUUCCAAUAAAAAGCAGAAGUGACUGCAUGGAAGCCAAGAACCUGGCACACUGUGAGCUGAUGAGAUGAUUAAACUGAAGCCAGCAUACAGUGGGCAGAAACCAGCAAUACAAUCAAUAAGAUGCUACAGCUAGCUGCUUGUAUCAAAGAAGACUGCAGCAAAAAGAACAAUUUAAUUUCUUUGCUUCUGGCCAGUUUGUGGCUAUAGCAGCAAGAGGGCUGUGUUGCCCUCAAAGGCCUCUCUGGCCUUGGUGGAGGGCCUGAUCCCUGCUAGAGAAAAGGACGUCAUGUAGUGAAAUUCUCUCUGCUGCACAUAUGGGUGAGAAAGGUGCCACACUUAUUUCUCUUUCUUCUCAUCCAU
Molecule: long non-coding RNA, 544 nt
Organism: Hirundo rustica (Barn swallow)
Lineage: Eukaryota; Metazoa; Chordata; Aves; Passeriformes; Hirundinidae
Exons: 4
Source: RefSeq, a predicted model, not a curated record